AUGGACAAGGAAGCGAUCCUGAAUAUACCUUUGAGUACACGAGUACAAUCUGACUUUUGGGCCUGGCAUUAUGACAGAAGAGGCACUUUUUCAGUAAGGUCUGCCUACCGUUUAUUGGCGACUACAAAGCAACAGAGAACGGAAUGGGUGGAGCAUGUUCCGGGGCAUUCAGAUACGGAUGCAGAUAAGAAGUCUUGGGGCAAACUUUGGAAUUUGAGCAUCCCACCCAAAAUCAAAAUUUUUGCUUGGCGGCUAGCCAAGACAUCGAUCCCCACAGGCGAGGUGAGGAAGGAGAGGAAGAUGACGGACUCGGCGGCUUGCCCACUUUGCCAAGCGACAGUGGAUACGUGGAGACACUCUCUGUUUGAUUGCCAUAUGUCACGUUGUGUCUGGGCUCUGGCUGAUGAGGAACUGAUAGAAGUAAUGAUCUCAAACCAAAUAGAGGAUGCUCGUUUGUGGAUGUUCUGGCUACUGGAUACUCUAAAAGAGCAAGAAGUUGUUCAGAUUUUGAUCACAAUGUGGGCCAUAUGGUGGGCGCAGCGCCGUGCUAUCCAUGAUGAGCAGUACCAAAGCCCCUUGAGCACUUCGGUUUUCAUCAACAAAUUUCUGUCCGAUCUUGAUUGCAUGGCUGUGCACAAGACACGCAGGAGGGACUUGCAUGGUUGGCUUCCUCCAACCGCUGCAGAAGCGAAGCUAAACAUUGAUGGAGGCGUGUCCAGAUCAGGUAGAAGGGGUGCAGCAGCUGUGGUCUGUCGUGACAGGGCGGGAGCUUUUCUUGGAGCCUCAGCCAGAGUUUUUGAGGGUCUCACGGAUCCGCCCUCGCUGGAAGCACAAUCAUGCAAUGAAGCCCUUGCUUUGGCGAUGGAUCUCAACCUCAACUCUAUAUGCGUGGCCUCGGAUUGUGCUGUUGUUAUUUCCAUGAUAGGCUCGGAUGUCCCCUGCCAGUUUGCCUCAGUUUUGAGUGAGAUAAACCAUAGGGCUAGUUUUUUUCCUACUAUCCAUUUUAUUCAUGAGAAUAGGAAGCAUAAUUUCGAAGCGCACGCUCUUGCAAAAGCUGCGGCUUCUUUGUCUCCCGGGCGCCACCUGUGGCUUCUAAAUACGCCCGACAUUAUCUGUAUCCCUAUGAACAUCCAGAUUUAA
RNAcentral lists this ribosomal RNA (1140 nucleotides) under Triticum aestivum (bread wheat). RNAcentral's name for it is "partial small subunit ribosomal RNA". Lineage: Eukaryota; Viridiplantae; Streptophyta; Magnoliopsida; Poales; Poaceae. The record is from RNAcentral.